UAGAUUAACAAAACAAAGCAUGAGAAUACUACCUUUAGAGAGUCAUGCUGUAUUUUUAGAAGAACUUUUGACAUGUUUAGGGAUGUAAAAGUUGUUUGAAUAUUAUUUAUUGGAUAUUCCAUUUCCUGGCAAUUGACUAGUCUCACAUAUAUAUUACCAGCCUCAAAUGGGCACACUGCAGAGCUGGUUUGAUGCAGAAUUCCGCUUGGCUCAUAUGUGCUCUGUCAAGAAAAAAGAGUGGAUAGUUGUCCGGGCCACUCUUUUAAGGUGAUCUGAGAGCUUCUUUUUGAUUUAUUUCAACAUGAUAUGCUGUUGUGGAAAGCAUAUAGCAUCACUCUGCAGAAAGAACCAGUCGUUCAGCAUCUGUAUACGGGACGACCAACUCCUGUGUUCACAAAAAUGAGCGUUCUCCAUCAAACCACUGGUGAUGCUGAUGACUCAUGGUGGAUUUAUGCUAAUAAUCCAUUGUUUCUGGUCAUAAUAUGUUUCUUAGCCAAAAGAAUUUUGAAAUUCAUUAAAUGUGGGUUUUGGAGUUGGGAAUGAAUUUUCGGGCUGCAGAUGAUAUGAGUGUCAUGCUGUGAAAGCAUGGAAGAGAUUGUGUUUUGGAAUGUUGGUGAAGGUAAUGACUCGCUUUUUUUUUUUUUUUUUGUCUAGGUUGUGAAUGCAAGGUCUACUAUUCCAUUUUUAUUUUUAGGUUCAUAAUUUUCGUAGUUUAUAAUAUAAUUUUGAAUGUUACAGAACGAUUGUGUUGUUUGUAGUUGUCAAACAAGUUGAAAGCUAUACUAAUGAAGAGAAUUACUAUGUUGCACAUAACGAUUGUGUUGUUUGUAGUUGUCAAAUCUUGCAUGGGAUGCUAUACUUCUACA
This is a non-coding RNA of Camellia sinensis, 866 nucleotides long. Lineage: Eukaryota; Viridiplantae; Streptophyta; Magnoliopsida; Ericales; Theaceae. The record is from RefSeq and is a predicted model, not a curated record.